Molecule: ribosomal RNA, 254 nt
Filed under: uncultured bacterium
Lineage: Bacteria
Description: partial 16S ribosomal RNA
Rfam family: Bacterial small subunit ribosomal RNA
Source: RNAcentral
CUUUCUUUGCUGGCGACCGGCGCACGGGUGAGUAACACGUAUCCAACCUGCCCUUUACUCAGGGAUAGCCUUUCGAAAGAAAGAUUAAUACCCGAUAGCAUAAUGAUUCCGCAUGGUUUCAUUAUUAAAGGAUUCCGGUAAAGGAUGGGGAUGCGUUCCAUUAGGUUGUUGGUGAGGUAACGGCCCACCAAGCCUUCGAUGGAUAGGGGUUCUGAGAGGAAGGUCCCCCACAUUGGAACUGAGACACGGUCCAA